UACGAAGGGGGCUAGCGUUGCUCGGAAUGACUGGGCGUAAAGGGCGCGUAGGCGGUUCAUACAGUCAGAUGUGAAAUUCCUGGGCUCAACCUGGGGACUGCGCUUGAGACGUGUGGGCUUGAGUGGGGAAGAGGGUCGUGGAAUUCCCAGUGUAGAGGUGAAAUUCGUAGAUAUUGGGAAGAACACCGGUGGCGAAGGCGGCGACCUGGUCCUUGACUGACGCUGAGGCGCGAAAGCGUGGGGAGCAAACAGG
This 253-nucleotide ribosomal RNA is filed under the name uncultured bacterium. RNAcentral's name for it is "partial 16S ribosomal RNA". It matches the Rfam family "Bacterial small subunit ribosomal RNA", at positions 524 to 776 of the family's 1533-position model. The record is from RNAcentral.